GCUAUAGUAAGUAAUCAGCCUGAAUGCACUUGUGCUGCUGGAUACGAAGGAACAUCCUGUGAAACUGCCUCAUGUACGACCAAUCCUUGCCAGAAUGCAGGUACUUGUGCAAUAGUAGACGAUCAGCAUCAAUGCACUUGUCAAACUGGAUAUGACGGUAGUUACUGUGAAACAGCAACAUGUGAAACCAAUCCUUGCCAGAAUGGAGGUACUUGUGCUAUAGUAAGUAAUCAGCCUGAAUGCACUUGUGCUGCUGGAUACGAAGGAACAUCCUGUGAAACUGCCUCAUGUACGACCAAUCCUUGCCAGAAUGCAGGUACUUGUGCAAUAGUAGACGAUCAGCAUCAAUGCACUUGUCAAACUGGAUAUGACGGUAGUUACUGUGAAACAGCAACAUGUGAAACCAAUCCUUGCCAGAAUGGAGGUACUUGUGCUAUAGUAAGUAAUCAGCAUGAAUGU
This is a long non-coding RNA of Mercenaria mercenaria, 459 nucleotides long. RefSeq lists it as uncharacterized. Lineage: Eukaryota; Metazoa; Mollusca; Bivalvia; Venerida; Veneridae. The record is from RefSeq and is a predicted model, not a curated record. The transcript is spliced from 6 exons.